Lagopus muta (rock ptarmigan) is the source of this 326-nucleotide long non-coding RNA. RefSeq lists it as uncharacterized. The record is from RefSeq and is a predicted model, not a curated record. The transcript has 3 exons. Lineage: Eukaryota; Metazoa; Chordata; Aves; Galliformes; Phasianidae.
AGCCCGAGACAGGAAUCCACUUGCUGUGCUCUCAGGACCUGUGGAGUCACCCUCAGCUCCCAGCCACCCAUCUGCGUACUGACAGUCUGUCUGUUACCAUCUUCACAAAGGGCUGCUCGAGAACCACAUGAAUCUAAGAAAAGGCAAUACAAUGGCUGAAGGGACAAGAUAACACUGCAGACAAACUGCGAGGACACUGCUGCAUUCCAGUAUCUGUCAAUGGACUGAGCUGCUCACCACCCCUACGGGGCCACCAAUUGGGGCUGAUUUCUCUCAGGUUCCUAGAAUAAUAGUGAUAAUGAGAUUGAGAAGGAGGAGGAUGAAAA